RNAcentral lists this ribosomal RNA (253 nucleotides) under uncultured bacterium. Its description in RNAcentral is "partial 16S ribosomal RNA". It matches the Rfam family "Bacterial small subunit ribosomal RNA", at positions 524 to 776 of the family's 1533-position model. The record is from RNAcentral.
UACGGGGGGAGCAAGCGUUGUUCGGAAUUACUGGGCGUAAAGCGCGCGUAGGCGGCUUUGUAAGUUAGAGGUGAAAGCCCGGGGCUCAACUCCGGAACUGCCUUUAAGACUGCAUCGCUUGAAUCCGGGAGAGGUGAGUGGAAUUCCGAGUGUAGAGGUGAAAUUCGUAGAUAUUCGGAAGAACACCAGUGGCGAAGGCGGCUCACUGGACCGGUAUUGACGCUGAGGUGCGAAAGCGUGGGGAGCAAACAGG